Doryrhamphus excisus (bluestripe pipefish) is the source of this 646-nucleotide long non-coding RNA. RefSeq lists it as uncharacterized. NCBI's taxonomy places the organism in Eukaryota, Metazoa, Chordata, Actinopteri, Syngnathiformes, Syngnathidae. The record is from RefSeq and is a predicted model, not a curated record.
GCUACCUAAAGCAAUGGGCCCCGGUGACAGAGCCAUUCAGCAACGCCGGCCAUAAAUGACCGUGUGGAACACCGCAUUCUGACAAAAAACAGCACAUUGCUCUGGAGCGCUGCCAAAAUGCCAGGAACAAAAGGUAAUAAGUCGGACAAGAAGUCAACUACCAAGCAACCUCAGAGUCCUAAAGAACAGCCGAAGAAAGGUGAUCAGAAAGGAGAUGACAACAAGAAGCAAGGAGGACAGCCGAAGGGAGAGAAGCAGUAACUUCCAAGCGUUUGUAAAGAUGGCUUUGGAGACGCUGCUGGGUUCUUGCCGUCGCAAACACGGGGGUCCUCGAGGCAGACAGGGCUGAGUCUACACAUCUACACACUGGGUUGUUGGGUGGUCUUCCAACACAUCCGCUAAACUCUCACAGAGAUGGAAAAUUAACCCGAUCUCUGUUCACCGCCACCUGUCCCUCUGGAUGUAUCUGUUCCCCGACCGGUCCACCCAACUGACUGGAUCCUUUGACUCCAGUAAAAAAAAAAAUGGAUCACUGCUUAGAGCAAGACCGCAGUUUGUCACCCUUUCCCAAUUCAAUUGACUAUUUAACAGUCCUUCCAUUUUUCUUGUAAAUAAUUAUUCUAAUAAACAACUAUUUCUUACAUCA